This 67-nucleotide transfer RNA is filed under the name Abyssogena mariana. RNAcentral describes it as "tRNA-Cys". The record is from RNAcentral. Lineage: Eukaryota; Metazoa; Mollusca; Bivalvia; Venerida; Vesicomyidae.
AGCCUGGUAAUAUAUAUGUAAUAAUAUUUUAAAUUGCAAAUUUGAGAAAGGAGAAAUCCCUAGGUUU